RNAcentral lists this ribosomal RNA (403 nucleotides) under uncultured Acidobacterium sp. RNAcentral's name for it is "bacterial SSU rRNA". It matches the Rfam family "Bacterial small subunit ribosomal RNA", at positions 95 to 477 of the family's 1533-position model. Lineage: Bacteria; Pseudomonadati; Acidobacteriota; Terriglobia; Terriglobales; Acidobacteriaceae. The record is from RNAcentral.
GUGGCGCACGGGUGAGUAACACGUAGGUAAUCUACCUUUGGAUUGGGAAUAACACCGAGAAAUCGGUGCUAAUACCGAAUAAUGCAGCGGCACCGAAUGGUGACAGUUGUUAAAGCGGGGGAUCGCAAGACCUCGCGUCUAAAGAGGAGCCUGCGGCGGAUUAGCUAGUUGGUAAGGUAACGGCUUACCAAGGCGAUGAUCCGUAGCCGGCCCGAGGGGGCGGUCGGCCACACUGACACUGACAUACGGGUCAGACUCCUACGGGAGGCAGCAGUCGGGAAUUUUGGGCAAUGGGCGAAAGCCUGACCCAGCAACGCCGCGUGAAGGAUGAAAUCCCUCGGGAUGUAAACUUCGCAAGAACGGGAAGAAUAAGUCGGUGCUAACACCAUCGGCGAUGACGGUA